GUGCUUGCUUCAGCAUCACAUAUACUAAAACUUGAAUACAGAGAGUAGAUUAGCAUGGGCCCUCCGUAAGAAAGACAUGCAAAUUUUGAAAUGUUCCACAUUUUU
Molecule: small nuclear RNA, 105 nt
Organism: Heterocephalus glaber (naked mole-rat)
Lineage: Eukaryota; Metazoa; Chordata; Mammalia; Rodentia; Bathyergidae
Source: Ensembl